UAUGUCUGACUACAUACAUGUCUUAUUGUUGUUUUGAGAUAGGGCCUUACAAGAUAGGCCAGGCUAUAGUCAAAUUUACCAUCCUCUUGCCUCAGCCUUCUGAGCAGUAUAAUUAAAAUACCCAUUGCCAGCUUGUACAAUGUUUUCAAUUAAGAAAAUGCCUAGACACUUUUCAAAUGUCUCAAGUAAAGCAAUGUCCAUUUUAGUAUGCAAAUACUUUAGUGUAUCAUGAAAUAUUUACAAAAAGUAUUUCAAACAAGGUUAAUUUCUUAAACUCUGGCCUUUUGUUAGUUUGGUUUUGAGACAGAGUUUGAUGUAGCCCAGGCUGGCCUGGGACUCCCUUUGUAAAUGAGGAUAGCCUUGCAGCACUGAUCCCCUGCCUCUAUGUCCUGAGCAUUAGAAUUCCAGGUGAGUGACACUGCACCUUGUUUCUAUGCAGUACUGGGAACUAAAUCCAGAGCUUCAUGCAUGCUAGCAAAGCAGUCUACCAGUGAGCUGCCUCCCCAGCCCAAACUGUUCUGCACUGUUCACUGCCUGCCAAACAGGGGAAUGACCCCGGGGAUCUUCAAUGGGAACUAAAGCCUUCAGUGCAUCAUGCUGCAGCUUCCUGCUUCUACUGCUAUGCCUGCCUCAUGCAGCCAUGCCUCCACAUCAGGAUGACCUCUUAUGCUUCUGGAAGUAAAAGCCCCAAAACAAUCUUCUAUAAGCUCUCCUGGUCAAGGGGUGAUGAUCAGAAUGGUCUCAAGCAACACCAGAAUUUCCACACCAAAGCAGAAGGCUUAUGAACUCAAGGACCAAAAAGUCCAGCCAAGCAGCUAUUGAAGCUAAAACUAAAGGCAGAUUCAUCAGUGCAGCCAAAUCCCCACUGAAUCUAAUGGAAGAGAAAGCAGGAAAGAGCCUCAAACUCAUGGGAAUGGGGAUAAAUAUCAUAAACGAACUCCAAUAGCUCAGGUUCUAACAUCAAAAUUUAUAAAUGGGCCACAAGAAACUGAAAAGCUUCU
This is a long non-coding RNA of Mus musculus (house mouse), 1001 nucleotides long. RefSeq annotates it as predicted gene, 53828. The transcript has 3 exons. The record is from RefSeq and is a predicted model, not a curated record. NCBI's taxonomy places the organism in Eukaryota, Metazoa, Chordata, Mammalia, Rodentia, Muridae.